This 494-nucleotide ribosomal RNA is filed under the name uncultured Sphingobacteriales bacterium. RNAcentral's name for it is "bacterial SSU rRNA". It matches the Rfam family "Bacterial small subunit ribosomal RNA", at positions 886 to 1382 of the family's 1533-position model. The record is from RNAcentral. Lineage: Bacteria; Pseudomonadati; Bacteroidota; Sphingobacteriia; Sphingobacteriales.
AGCCCGCUACAGAACUUAAACGGAAUUCGAGGGGCCCGCGACAAGCGGAGGAGCAUGUGUUAAUUCGAUGAUACGCGAGGAACUUACCUGGGCUCGAACGUAAGAUGACUGUAGGUGAAAGCUUACAUCUCUUCGGAGCAUUUUACGAGGUGCUGCAUGGUUGUCGUCAGCUCGUGCCGUGAGGUGUCGGGUUAAGUCCCAUAACGAGCGCAACCCCUACCUUUAGUUGCCAUCAGGUAAUGCUGGGGACUCUAAAGGAACUGCCUACGCAAGUAGUGAGGAAGGCGGGGAUGACGUCAAAUCAGCACGGCCCUUACGUCCAGGGCUACACACGUGCUACAAUGGCCGAUACAGAGGGCAGCUACCUGGUGACAGGAUGCAAAUCUCCAAAGUCGGUCUCAGUUCGGAUCGGAGUCUGCAACCCGACUCCGUGAAGUUGGAUUCGCUAGUAAUCGCGCAUCAGCCAUGGCGCGGUGAAUACGUUCCCGGGCCUU